UGAGUACGAGAUGCUACGGCGUCGAAGCAGUCUAUGUCAUACUUCCAAGAAAAGCUUGCACUGUCAUAAACAAAUAAUGCCUGUACCAUAACCGACACAGGUGGGUAGGUAGAGUAUACUAAGGGGCGCGAGAUAACUCUCUCUAAGGAACUCGGCAAAAUGACUCCGUAACUUCGGGAGAAGGAGUGCCUUAUUUUAUAAGGUUGCAAUAACAAGAUCCGAGCAACUGUUUACCAAAAACACAGGUCUCCGCUAAGUCGUAAGACGAUGUAUGGGGGCUGACGCCUGCCCAGUGCCAGAAGGUUAAAGAAGUCGGUUAGUUUACGCGAAGCUGGUAACUGAAGCCCUGGUGAACGGCGGCCGUAACAAUAACGGUCCUAAGGUAGCGAAAUUCCUUGUCGGGUAAGUUCCGACCCGCACGAAAGGCGUAAUGAUUUGGAUACUGUCUCGGAGAGGGACUCGGUGAAAUAGACUUGUCUGUGAAGAUGCGGACUACCUGCACCAGGACAGAAAGACCCUAUGAAGCUUUACUGUAACUUGAAAUUGAAGUUGGACUUUACUUGCGCAGUAUAGGUGGGAGGCUUUGAGAAUAUUCUUGCGGGAAUAUUGGAGCCAUCAGUGAGAUACCACUCUGGUAAUGUUAGAUUUCUAACUUUGAAUCAUUAUCUGGUCAAAGAACAGUUUCAGGCGGGCAGUUUGACUGGGGCGGUCGCCUCCUAAACGGUAACGGAGGCGCACAAAGGUUUCCUCUGAACGGGUAGAAAUCGUAUCUAGAGUGUAAAGGCAUAAGGAAGCUUGACUGUGAGACCUACAAGUCGAGCAGGGACGAAAGUCGGUCUUAGUGAUCUGACGGUGCUGAGUGGAAAGGCCGUCACUCAACGGAUAAAAGUUACUCUAAGGAUAACAGGCUGAUCUCCCCCAAGAGUUCACAUCGACGGGGAGGUUUGGCACCUCGAUGUCGGCUCAUCGCAUCCUGGGGCGGUAGUACGUCCCAAGGGUUGGGCUGUUCGCCCAUGAAAGCGGUACGCGAGCUGGGUUCAGAACGUCGUGAGACAGUUCGGUCCAUAUCCGGUGUAGGCGUUAGAAUAUUGAGAGGAGCCUUCUUUAGUACGAGAGGACCGAGAAGGAUGCACCUCUGGUGUACCAGUUAUUGUGCCAACAGUAAACGCUGGGUAGCUAUGUGUGGAGUGGAUAACCGCUGAAAGCAUCUAAGUGGGAAGCCCACCUC
Molecule: ribosomal RNA, 1228 nt
Filed under: metagenome
Description: bacterial LSU rRNA
Rfam family: Bacterial large subunit ribosomal RNA
Source: RNAcentral